This 421-nucleotide ribosomal RNA is filed under the name uncultured bacterium. RNAcentral describes it as "bacterial SSU rRNA". It matches the Rfam family "Bacterial small subunit ribosomal RNA", at positions 29 to 474 of the family's 1533-position model. The record is from RNAcentral.
AACGAACGCUGGCGGCAGGCCUAACACAUGCAAGUCGAGCGAGGUAGCAAUACCUAGCGGCGGACGGGUGAGUAACGCGUGGGAACGUACCCUUUGCUACGGAAUAGCCCCCGGGAAACUGGGAGUAAUACCGUAUGUGCCCUUCGGGGGAAAGAUUUAUCGGCAAAGGAUCGGCCCGCGUUGGAUUAGGUAGUUGGUGGGGUAAUGGCCUACCAAGCCGACGAUCCAUAGCUGGUUUGAGAGGAUGAUCAGCCACACUGGGACUGAGACACGGCCCAGACUCCUACGGGAGGCAGCAGUGGGGAAUAUUGGACAAUGGGCGCAAGCCUGAUCCAGCAAUGCCGCGUGUGUGAAGAAGGCCUGCGGGUUGUAAAGCACUUUCAGUGGGAAGGAACAAGAUUCGGGUCGAAUACCCCGGACG